UACGGAGGGGGCUAGCGUUGUUCGGAAUUACUGGGCGUAAAGCGCACGUAGGCGGCUUUGCAAGUUAGAGGUGAAAGCCCGGGGCUCAACUCCGGAAUUGCCUUUAAAACUGCAUCGCUAGAAUUGUGGAGAGGUAAGUGGAAUUCCGAGUGUAGAGGUGAAAUUCGUAGAUAUUCGGAAGAACACCAGUGGCGAAGGCGGCUCACUGGACUGGUAUUGACGCUGAUGUGCGAAAGCGUGGGGAGCAAACAGG
Molecule: ribosomal RNA, 253 nt
Filed under: uncultured bacterium
Lineage: Bacteria
Description: partial 16S ribosomal RNA
Rfam family: Bacterial small subunit ribosomal RNA
Source: RNAcentral